Gymnodraco acuticeps is the source of this 288-nucleotide long non-coding RNA. RefSeq lists it as uncharacterized. The record is from RefSeq and is a predicted model, not a curated record. NCBI's taxonomy places the organism in Eukaryota, Metazoa, Chordata, Actinopteri, Perciformes, Bathydraconidae. The transcript has 3 exons.
CACCGAGAAGGUUUUGGCAACGUACCACUGGUCCACUAUGCGGGAGGACGUGAAGAAAUGGAUACAUUCUAACAGCGACUGAUCUGUUCACGAAGUGGGUGGUAGCAAAAACGCUCUACCACAAAACAGCUGUUGAGGUCUCAAAAAAGAUUGUAAAUAUUCUUCUCGAUUUCGGUCUUGUCGAGAAGAUCAUUACCGACCAAGGACGGGAAUUUGUCAAUGAGGUCAACCGUGGUGUUUUUGAUGCACUGGGUGUAAAACACUGCAUCACUUCAGCGUACCAUCCCC